GGCGACAUAGCCAAGUGGUAAGGCAGUGGUUUGCAAAACCAUCAUUCCCCAGUUCGAAUCUGGGUGUCGCCUCCA
Molecule: transfer RNA, 75 nt
Filed under: Oscillospiraceae bacterium
Lineage: Bacteria; Bacillati; Bacillota; Clostridia; Eubacteriales; Oscillospiraceae
Description: tRNA-Cys
Rfam family: tRNA
About the family: Transfer RNA (tRNA) molecules are approximately 80 nucleotides in length. Their secondary structure includes four short double-helical elements and three loops (D, anti-codon, and T loops). Further hydrogen bonds mediate the characteristic L-shaped molecular structure. tRNAs have two regions of fundamental functional importance: the anti-codon, which is responsible for specific mRNA codon recognition, and the 3' end, to which the tRNAs corresponding amino acid is attached (by aminoacyl-tRNA synthetases). tRNAs cope with the degeneracy of the genetic code in two manners: having more than one tRNA (with a specific anti-codon) for a particular amino acid; and 'wobble' base-pairing, i.e. permitting non-standard base-pairing at the 3rd anti-codon position.
Source: RNAcentral